AGCCACGCGCUGGGAGCCGAGUCUGCGAACUAGGCCUGGCGCGCUCCUGGAUCCCCUUGGGCUUUGCCUGCUGCCUCCAGCGGAGACUGGAGAAUGUGUGUAAAAUACAACGUGGAAGAGAGAUGAAGAAAAGGCAUUCUGGUGCAGCGAGCAGUCACCUUGAUGGUGGCUCCCUGGACCCUGCAGACUCUGACAUAGCAUCCAUGAUGCUGGUACCUGGCAAGAGACAGCAUCAUCCCACAGAGAGAUGAAUGUGGUCAGCUCCAAAUAUUACAAGACAGCAACUGGCCAGACUCGGUAGAAUACAAUGGAGCAUAGAGAAAUAAUCCUGCCUGGUGUUUAGUCUUGAGGCCUCACCACCUGAGACGGGCACUGUCAGUGCUCAGCCCAGAUCCUCUGGGAUCCCUGUGACCUGUGUGUCCCACCUCGGGCUUCUAUGUGUCACACCUGUGACUCCACUUCACAGGCUGCUUUCAGGCUAUGCGAGUGGCAUCACCUGAACUAGCAGAGAGUGCCUGAGAGUUUACCUUUUCUGCCUCCACCUGCUACCAUAGUCCCUUACCCUGUGUGACCCAGCAGUGCAAGAGUGUGAAAGCCCACCUCCCUGGCUUUAGAUGGGGUUAAGUCUAAGGCAUAAAGUAUGCUUCAGAGCGCCCCUGUGGAAUCCAGUUCGAGCCACCUGCAGUGGGAUAUUGCUUGAAAUCACAUCCUUACCUGGCUUCUUACCAAUUAUUUUUAAUGCACUUCCAUAAUAAUGUCACUAUGUACAUACCUGUGACCCUACCCAUUCCAACUCUGUAACCUCCAGUCCUAGACCUUAGCUGCCUAGGUAGUAUUCAUUCAUUCAUUCAUUAUCGAAUACUAGCUCAAAAUCUACUCUAGGUAAAGCACUAUUUCUCAUUUAUGGAGUAUAGCAAAUAUUCUGCCCUUUCUCCACCUCCUGUACCCUAAUUUUCUCUUCUUAAAAGCAUGCCAGUCACAUUGGAUUAGAACUUACCCUAAUGACAAUUACCUCUUUAAAGACCUGUCUCCAGGAGUUCCCAUCGUGGAUCAGUGGUUAACAAACCCAAUUAGUAUCCAUGAGGAUGCGAGUUCGAUCCCUGGCAUCACUCAGGGGGCUAAGGAUCUGGCCUUGCUGUGGCUUUGGGGCAGUGGCAACAGCUCCCUAUCUUUGGAACCUCCAUAUGCCAGGUGGGGGCGGGGCGGGCCCUAAAAAGACAAAAGACGAAAAGAAAAAAAAAACCUCUCUCCAAAUACAGUCACAUUUGAAGUAAUGGGGCUUAGGAGAGGACUUUAGUAAAUAAACUUCUGAGGGGUACACAAUUCAGCUGAAAACAUCCAUUAUCUGUAAUUCCAGUAGUGCCAAUUCCACUCUUUAUUUUACCACUUGUUCUAAAAAACAUCUACUUUGCAUCUGUUGGUUAUACCCAUUUACUUCCUUUCUGGGAAAGUUGAUAGACCCACAGGUCUUAGAGUGAACCCAUGAUGAGUUUAAAGCUGGUGGUGAAUGAAAAACACUAUCAAACAUCUCAACAAGCCCUUGAAUGCUAACUCAGUGGCAUGAGGUACCAAUGAAAGAUGUGGCAGAGUUGGGACUGUAGGAGAGCUGAUCAGUUCAUUGUACCAAGUAAUUCCCAAUUUACUCAAUCUUUGAUUUGCUUCAGUAUGUCUGUUGGCAACAUACAUCAUUUGUAUCAUCGAUUUGUUUUGUUUUUGUACACCUAGUUUCUGGAAACUGAAGAACAAAAGUACGACACUAUUUUACAGAAAACCAGAACACCCUCAAGACUUCAGUUAGGAUGAUUGAGGACUAGAGCAAAGAGCUUCGCUUUUUCAGUGGUUUCUGCCUCAGUGGGAAGCACAAGAAGCCACUAGGCUAACUGCUUGCCUGCGGGACGGCUGGAAGGAGAUGAAUAUUGAAACUUUUUUUUUGAGUAAUCCCACAUACAACGCAAUUUAUUUUCUCUUACAAGGAGUUUGUUGUGAUACUUUGAUUCUUUGAACAGAAAAGCUAUUUAAACUAAGCAAUUUCUCUCCAUGGUGAUGUAACAGUCCAGCUAUGGGGAGAAAAACAUCUUUCACAAAAACGAGGCAACCUAAGCUCAAAAUCCUUUCAACACUCCAGGCAAUUCCCCAUUCCCUUCGCUUACAAUUAAAUUAUUUUUGUCACUAUCAACAGGAGCAAGACUUUCUUUGAUUCCGAGUUAAUAAAAUCGUUAACUCGUUUCCUUUGGCUUGACUCUACAAACCAGCAAAUACUUUAGGAAUGCUUUUACUCUGCCAAACUAAGUUUUGGUUUUCCAUCUCUCAGUUCUCAAUGAUUUAUAUGUAUAAUCAUUUAGUAGGUAUAAAUAUCUUAUUUACGUAAAUCACAGUGGUGUUUCUAAAAUAACUAUAUUUAUAUUUGAAUAUAAAAAAUAAAAGUAAAUAAGGCCAAAUCUUAGCAAUCUGUUUAUACCUCCCUCCCCCAACUCCCACUUCCCCUCACCCUCAAAUUCCAGGUCCUCUAGGUCUCUGAUUGGCUUGCUGCCUCUCCAGGUUAUCGGAUUUCCUUAAAGUGAAGAUUAGAGUAAAGCAUAUCUGAGGUUGGGUUUUUUGGUUGUUGUUGGUAAAGUGUGGUAAUCCUUUCAUAAUUCAGAUUUGGAGCAAUAGAACAACCCUAUGAAAGUAGAUUAGGCCUGUCGCCAACAUUCCAGGGGCUUCUUUCAUAUUUUCACACUAUUAACAGGCUACAUGUCUCCUCUGACCUUAAUUCCACACAAUCUCAGGACAAAGUUUUCUUCUCUUUCCUUUUUUUAGUUCCGAAAUUAAAAUCACUCUCCUUUGACACCAACGAAGGUGCUUCGAUGGCUGAGUCUGCCUCCAUCGUCAUUAAAAGGUUACUGCUGGAAAAACCUUAGACAUCUAGUUUGGACCAGCAAUGUUUUAGUUAGCGUUCUAAAGGAUUUUUUCCUUAGAUUGCAGAUCAUUACCGAGGUAAAAGAGUACGUGUCUCUUAGUCUCUGGGAGCGUUUUGUUUUAUUUUGUUUCAGGGUCAAAUGUGGUGGGGCACAGUGAGUUAUAAUAGAAGACUAUGAUGAAAGAAAACUACCCCCUGCUGUGAACAACUAAGCGAGAAGUUAACCAUUACAGAGUAACAAUUUUGCAGGAAAUCAUGUCACUAAUACAGUAGUUAUUGGUUAACUGCGGUCCAGUUUCUAUAUUAGUGGAAAGAGCUACUUUAGGGAACUAUGAUGUUCUGAUAUUAUUUGAAGUUUGGGAGUUCUAAUUUAAAAAAAAAUUUAAGACCACGACUAGCAUAGGAGACAGUAUUAUUAAGGCUAGAUACCCUAAUGUUUUCUACUCACAUGCAUCAAUUUCUGAUUUAAUUGUAAACUAACCACAGAAGUUUCAGUGAUUGCGCAAUAUAACAUUUUUCAACCCCUUGAUUUUAUGACCUAUUUGGUCAUUUCCCAGUGACAUUUUCGGAUAGUGCAGUAAAACCGUACUGAGUGCAGAUUUGAAAAACACUUCUUAAAACAUUUAUGUGAACAAAUGAAAAGGCUCAAAUACCAUUUAAAUUAAAACGCAGUCAAACUUUACCUAAUAAGAACCCAGCACAUGCUGAACCCUGGCUAACUGACAUUGCCCACAAUUAACUCAAUUUUAAUCUGAAAGAGAAAAGAUGACAAGUUAACAUCAGGGAUUUACUCAAGCCGGAAGGAAGAAGAGAGGAAAAAAGAAACAAAUCACAACAUUACAUUUAUUUUAAGAUGCACGUUUUUUUCCCAUCUUUAAACCUCUGAAAUCAGGAUUCCCUUACUUGUCCUUGACCAGGUGGUAUACUGUAUGAGCAGAGCAGAUAAGAACUUGGCCAUACCGUUCACAGUGUUACAGCUUGAGGUAAGAUACGCUCAUGGUUAGUACCGCAUAAAAUAAGUGUAAAUAACUUUUUUUUCUUUUCUUGGCUUUUUAGGGCUACACCCUCGGCAUAUGGAGGUUCCCCAGCUAGGGGUCCAGUUGGAGCUGUAGCCACUGGCCACAGCCACAGCCACAGCCACAGCCACAGUGAUGCCAGAUCAGAGCCGCGUCUGCAACCUACACCACAGCUCAUGGCAAUGCCAGAUCCUUAACCCACUGAGCAAGGCCGGGGAUCGAACUUGCAUCCUCACGGAUACUAGUCAGAUGCACCAUGAUUUUACAGAUCCCUAACAAAGGGAGGUAAUUGUAAAUGUAAUUUACAAUAGUAGAGCCUACUUCUCUUAUGAUCUACUGUCUUCACAAGCCAAACUCAAAACAUUUUUAGAAAAGCUAAAUCUCUAUAAAAAGAAAAAAAAAAGCUGCCUUAUAUUUUAUACCUUCUCAGUAUACCUGUAAUUAGUGCAUAAAUAUGGGGACUGUGCCAAUUAUCAGAUGUCACCAUAUACUCUGGGUUUUCUCCAAAGUAGAAGAUGUUCAUUCUAACACUUUAAUCCUGAGAGUCUUUUAAAAAAAAUCCAUGUGGUGCAGCAGUUUUUCAUUCACAGAUGUGAUCUUACACUGAUUUCAAAAAUUAUGACCGCAAAAAUAAAUGCAGUGGCAAGUGGGUAUGAGCUUAGAUUAUAAAGAGCGGAGGUGUGGCUGGGUUCUCGAUGUGUACACUAGUUGUGAUGGUUAAAUUUAUGUGUCAUCUUGACUGGGCCCCGGAGUACUCAGAUUAAACAUUAUUUCUGUCAACUGUAUUCCAAUAAAAUUUAAAAAA
Molecule: long non-coding RNA, 4720 nt
Filed under: Sus scrofa (pig)
Lineage: Eukaryota; Metazoa; Chordata; Mammalia; Artiodactyla; Suidae
Description: lncRNA (ENSSSCG00065066074.1)
Source: RNAcentral